RNAcentral lists this ribosomal RNA (1536 nucleotides) under uncultured Bacillota bacterium. Its description in RNAcentral is "uncultured Firmicutes bacterium 16S ribosomal RNA". It matches the Rfam family "Bacterial small subunit ribosomal RNA". The record is from RNAcentral. Lineage: Bacteria; Bacillati; Bacillota.
AGAGUUUGAUCCUGGCUCAGGACGAACGCUGGCGGCGUGCCUAAUACAUGCAAGUCGAGCGGACUUUUUAAAAGCUUGCUUUUAAAAAGUUAGCGGCGGACGGGUGAGUAACACGUAGGCAACCUACCUUAUCGACUGGGAUAACUUCGGGAAACCGGAGCUAAUACCGGAUAACCAAUGGACAUGCAUAUGAACAUUGUAAAAGUUGGCGCAAGCUAACACGAUAAGAUGGGCCUGCGGCGCAUUAGCUAGUUGGUAAGGUAACGGCUUACCAAGGCGACGAUGCGUAGCCGACCUGAGAGGGUGAUCGGCCACACUGGGACUGAGACACGGCCCAGACUCCUACGGGAGGCAGCAGUAGGGAAUCUUCCGCAAUGGACGAAAGUCUGACGGAGCAACGCCGCGUGAGUGAUGAAGGUUUUCGGAACGUAAAGCUCUGUUGUUAGGGAAGAACAAGUGUUGAUCGAAUAGGUCGGCACCUUGACGGUACCUAACGAGAAAGCCACGGCUAACUACGUGCCAGCAGCCGCGGUAAUACGUAGGUGGCAAGCGUUGUCCGGAAUUAUUUGGGCGUAAAGCGCGCGCAGGCGGUCUCUUAAGUCCUGAUGUGAAAAGCCCACCGCUCAACCGUGGAGGGUCAUUGGAAACUGGGGGGACUUGAGUACAGAAGAGGAGAGUGGAUUUUCACGUGUAGCGGUGAAAUGGCGUAGAUAUGUGGGAGAAACAUCAUUGGUCGAGGCGACUCUUUGGUUUGUACUGACUCUUAGGCGCCGAAGCUUUGGGGAGCGAAGGGGAAGCGAAACAGGAAUUAAAUACCAUAGUAGUCCACGCCGAAACAAAGGAAUGCUAGGUGUUAGGGGGUUUCGAUGCCCUUAGUGCGGAAAUUAAAAACAUUAAACGCUCAGCCUGGGGGAGUACGGCCGCAAGGUGAAACUCAAAAGAAAUGACGGGGGCCCGCACAAGCGGUGGAGCAUGUGGUUUAAUUCGAAGCAACGCGAAGAACCUUACCAGGUCUCGACAUCCUUUGACCACCCUAGAGAUAGGGCUUUCCCCUUCGGGGGACAAAGUGACAGGUGGUGCAUGGUUGUCGUCAGCUCGUGUCGUGAGAUGUUGGGUUAAGUCCCGCAACGAGCGCAACCCUUAACCUUAGUUGCCAGCAUUUGGUUGGGCACUCUAAGGUGACUGCCGGUGACAAACCGGAGGAAGGUGGGGAUGACGUCAAAUCAUCAUGCCCCUUAUGACCUGGGCUACACACGUGCUACAAUGGAUGGUACAAAGGGCAGCGAAGCCGCGAGGUGGAGCCAAUCCCAUAAAGCCAUUCUCAGUUCGGAUUGCAGGCUGCAACUCGCCUGCAUGAAGCCGGAAUCGCUAGUAAUCGCGGAUCAGCAUGCCGCGGUGAAUACGUUCCCGGGCCUUGUACACACCGCCCGUCACACCACGAGAGUUUGUAACACCCGAAGUCGGUGGGGUAACCUUUUGGAGCCAGCCGCCUAAGGUGGGACAGAUGAUUGGGGUGAAGUCGUAACAAGGUAGCCG